This 253-nucleotide ribosomal RNA is filed under the name uncultured bacterium. Its description in RNAcentral is "partial 16S ribosomal RNA". It matches the Rfam family "Bacterial small subunit ribosomal RNA", at positions 524 to 776 of the family's 1533-position model. The record is from RNAcentral.
GACAGAGGUGCCGAGCGUUAGGCGGAAUCACUGGGCUUAAAGCGUGUGUAGGCGGAUGGGUAAGUACCUUGUGAAAUCCCACGGCUCAACCGUGGAACUGCUCGGUAUACUGCUCGUCUUGAGCCAACUAGGGGCGACCGGAACAAACGGUGGAGCGGUGAAAUGCGUAGAUAUCGUUUGGAACGCCGAUGGUGAAAACAGGUCGCUGGGGUUGUGCUGACGCUGAGACACGAAAGCGUGGGUAGCAAACAGG